AUUCAACUGACGAGUCCCAGAGAGGACGAAACGCGCGUCGAACUGGAU
Schistosoma mansoni is the source of this 48-nucleotide non-coding RNA. The record is from Rfam. Lineage: Eukaryota; Metazoa; Platyhelminthes; Trematoda; Strigeidida; Schistosomatidae.